GACGAACGCUGGCGGCGUGCCUAAUACAUGCAAGUAGAACGCUGAAGGAGGAGCUUGCUUCUCUGGAUGAGUUGCGAACGGGUGAGUAACGCGUAGGUAACCUGCCUGGUAGCGGGGGAUAACUAUUGGAAACGAUAGCUAAUACCGCAUAAGAGUAGAUGUUGCAUGACAUUUGCUUAAAAGGUGCAAUUGCAUCACUACCAGAUGGACCUGCGUUGUAUUAGCUAGUUGGUGGGGUAACGGCUUACCAAGGCGAAGAUACAUAGCCGACCUGAGAGGGGGAUUGGCCACACUGGGAAUGAGACACGGCCCAGACUCCUACGAGAGGCAGCAGUAGGGAAGCUGCAGCAAUGGACGGAAGUCAGACCGAGCAACGCCGCGUGAGUGAAGAAGGUUUUCGGGUCGUAAAGCUCUGUUGUAAGAGAAGAACGCGUGUGAGAGUGGAAAGUUCACAGUGUGACGGUAUCUUACCAGAAAGGGACGGCUAACUACGUG
This 495-nucleotide ribosomal RNA is filed under the name uncultured bacterium. Its description in RNAcentral is "partial 16S ribosomal RNA". It matches the Rfam family "Bacterial small subunit ribosomal RNA", at positions 28 to 507 of the family's 1533-position model. The record is from RNAcentral.